Hippocampus zosterae (dwarf seahorse) is the source of this 530-nucleotide long non-coding RNA. RefSeq lists it as uncharacterized. Lineage: Eukaryota; Metazoa; Chordata; Actinopteri; Syngnathiformes; Syngnathidae. The transcript has 2 exons. The record is from RefSeq and is a predicted model, not a curated record.
ACAUGAAAAUAGGUAAUUGGGCACCUCUCCUUUGAUACCCAACAUAAACCUGAGGGAGAAGUGCAGAACUUGCCCAUCUGUGUGACAAACUGGGGGAGAUGUGUGAGGCGUCUGCCUGACAACACAGAGUGAGUUGAGCGGCUACAGUGUGAUAGAAAAGAGGGCAAAUUGGGGCUCAAACAGAAACGGGCACAGCGCUUUGCUUACUACUUCCAUUCUACAGAAUGGCCAUCAGCUCGUUUUAGCUUGGUCUACAUUGCAUUUGUCCAUCCGAGCUGUCCUCAUCAUCAGAACCAUCUGGGCCUACGCCACGCAAUCCUGCGGUACGAUAGCCCAUGUUGAGCAGCAUAACCUCCAGUGGAUCCGCGUUCAUUCGCCGCUGAUUGGCCUGAGCUGCGCCUUCCAUGUCCUCUACUACACUGCCAUUUUCGCGCUCGGUCUGUCAGAAAACAAAAGAAUGAAUGAGUGACAGAGACAAGAGGGAAAAGCUACACUUCUUGGACCAAAAAAAAAAAAAAAUCAAAAACUUC